AACAUGACUCUCGGCAACGGAUAUCUCGGCUCUCGCAUCGAUGAAGAACGUAGCGAAAUGCGAUACCUGGUGUGAAUUGCAGAAUCCCGCGAACCAUCGAGUCUUUGAACGCAAGUUGCGCCCGAGGCCACUUGGCCGAGGGCACGCCUGCCUGGGCGUCACGC
This 164-nucleotide ribosomal RNA is filed under the name Poa jubata. Its description in RNAcentral is "5.8S ribosomal RNA". It matches the Rfam family "5.8S ribosomal RNA". From Rfam's summary of the family: 5.8S ribosomal RNA (5.8S rRNA) is a component of the large subunit of the eukaryotic ribosome. It is transcribed by RNA polymerase I as part of the 45S precursor that also contains 18S and 28S rRNA. Functionally, it is thought that 5.8S rRNA may be involved in ribosome translocation. Lineage: Eukaryota; Viridiplantae; Streptophyta; Magnoliopsida; Poales; Poaceae. The record is from RNAcentral.